Molecule: ribosomal RNA, 184 nt
Filed under: uncultured bacterium
Lineage: Bacteria
Description: partial 16S ribosomal RNA
Source: RNAcentral
GAUUGUCCCAGCAGCCGCGGAACAUGAAUUCACGCAUGGCCUCGAUUUCCUCGGGACUGAAGUUGGGGCCGCUCAUGGUGCUGCCGAUAGGCACGCGCUUCAUGUUCAUGUAAAGGAACGUGUGUUCGAACAGACGCGGAUCGGUCAGCUCCAGGAAGUCGUAACAAGGUAACCAAUCACUAGU